AGCUCCAAUAGCGUAUAUUAAAGUUGUUGCGGUUAAAAAGCUCGUAGUUGGAUUUCUGCAUGGAAGGAGCGGUCCACCCAUUGGGCGCGUACGGCUACCUUUGAUGCAUCUUUCUGAGGACGUGUUCUUCACUUAAUUGUGAGGGCGCAGGACUCAGGACAUUUACUUUGAGGAAAUGAGAGUGUUUCAAGCAGGCAAAUGCCUUGAAUACGUUAGCAUGGAAUAAUAGCAUCGGACCAUCGUCCAGCUGUUGGUGUCUGGGCGAAGGUAAAGGUGAAUAGGGAUUGUUGGGGGCAUUCGUAUUUAACUGUCAGAGGUGAAAUUCUUGGAUUUGUUGAAGACGGACCACUGCGAAAGCAUCUGCCAAAGAUGUUC
This 375-nucleotide ribosomal RNA is filed under the name uncultured eukaryote. Its description in RNAcentral is "SSU rRNA". It matches the Rfam family "Eukaryotic small subunit ribosomal RNA", at positions 587 to 969 of the family's 1831-position model. The record is from RNAcentral.